This 675-nucleotide long non-coding RNA is filed under the name Ananas comosus (pineapple). Its description in RNAcentral is "long non-coding RNA (ACOM_LNC019201)". The record is from RNAcentral. Lineage: Eukaryota; Viridiplantae; Streptophyta; Magnoliopsida; Poales; Bromeliaceae.
AACACAAUAAGAUAGAGAGAAGGAGAUGAGUGCGGGGUGAGAGAUUAGAUGAUAAUGUUUCUUUUUGCAUGAAAAAUAACAUGUCAUGCAAGAAAGAGGGGGUAGGGGGAUUAAUGGUGGAGGGGAGUAGAUUGGUGUUACAAAGCUCAUUAAUUGAUGAAAUAUAAUGCAUGUAAUUAAAUGUGGAGAGGUGAAGGGUUGAGCAUUUAGAAUUGGAGAUUAAUGGUGGAGGGGAGUGGAUUGGAAUUACAAAGCUCACUAAUUGAUAGAAUAUGAUGCAUGCAUUAAAUAUGGAGAGAUGAAGGGUUUAGCAUAGUAUUUAGAAGUGAGGAUUAAUAGUGGAGGGGAGUGGAUUGGAGUUACAAAACUCAAAUAUAAAAUAUAAUGCAUGUAAUUAAAUAUGAAAAGGUGAAGGGUUAAGUGGAGAAGAAACGUAAAUUUUAUAUUGAGAAUUCAUAUAAGAGAUAAAUAUUAUCUAUUAACCUAAGAAUGAAGGGUUUCUUGCCACGUGGCAAGAAACAUUGUGGAGUCAUUAUGUUUAAUAGAUAAUUUCAGUCACACAUAUUACAGUUAUAUUUAUUUAUUCUUAUUCAGAGUACCAAUCAUCAAAAUCUUUUAACCAAUGAGCGAAAUUCUACCGAUAGAAUUUCAACCUUUCCAAAAAUAAAAAAACAA